Calditerrivibrio nitroreducens DSM 19672 is the source of this 200-nucleotide non-coding RNA. The record is from Rfam. Lineage: Bacteria; Pseudomonadati; Deferribacterota; Deferribacteres; Deferribacterales; Calditerrivibrionaceae.
AAAAUUUUUUUAUUAUGAUAUAAAUUUCUUAGGCACAAGGGAAGUCCGGUGAAAAUCCGGUGCUGUACCCGCAGCUGUAAGCUGGACGAAAGCCCAUUAUGCCACUGCCAGGCAUCUAUUCAAUAUUUGGAUGCUGGGUGGGAAGGCGGGCAAGUAGGAUGAAGGCAAGCCAGAAGACCUGUGUCUCAUCCAUAUUAUGG